Molecule: transfer RNA, 86 nt
Filed under: Puccinia triticina
Lineage: Eukaryota; Fungi; Basidiomycota; Pucciniomycetes; Pucciniales; Pucciniaceae
Also listed under: 1 other name
Description: tRNA-Val
Rfam family: tRNA
About the family: Transfer RNA (tRNA) molecules are approximately 80 nucleotides in length. Their secondary structure includes four short double-helical elements and three loops (D, anti-codon, and T loops).
Source: RNAcentral
GGCACUGUAGCUCAGUUGGUAGAGCACAUGCUUAACACGAUGUACUCGAUCGCAUGUUGUCGUCGGUUCGAGCCCGGCCAGAGUCA